RNAcentral lists this ribosomal RNA (252 nucleotides) under uncultured bacterium. RNAcentral's name for it is "partial 16S ribosomal RNA". It matches the Rfam family "Bacterial small subunit ribosomal RNA", at positions 524 to 776 of the family's 1533-position model. The record is from RNAcentral.
UACGUAGGUCCCGAGCGUUGUCCGGAUUUAUUGGGCGUAAAGCGAGCGCAGGUGGUUUAUUAAGUCUGGGGUAAAAGGCAGUGGCUCAACCAUUGUAUGCAUUGGAAACUGGUAGACUUGAGUGCAGGAGAGGAGAGUGGGAUUCCAUGUGUAGCGGUGAAAUGCGUAGAUAUAUGGAGGAACACCGGUGGCGAAAGCGGCUCUCUGGCCUGUAACUGACACUGAGGCUCGAGAGCGUGGGGAGCAAACAGG